AGGUACGCCCAUCCUUGGCGGACCGGUUCAUUGUCGCACCAAUUGGUAAAAAGCAUCCACGUGAAGAUAAUUGCACGAAGUCUGAUGAUGAAACUCAAGAUGCUGCCCAUGAAGAUGAACAGACAUCUCGAGUGAGGGAUUGGAUAAAUUCUGGGCACAACUCCACAAUUGAUCUGGCAGAUAUACUUGCAAAUUUUCCAGACAUAUCACUGGUA
Musa acuminata AAA Group (dessert banana) is the source of this 215-nucleotide long non-coding RNA. RefSeq lists it as uncharacterized. The record is from RefSeq and is a predicted model, not a curated record. NCBI's taxonomy places the organism in Eukaryota, Viridiplantae, Streptophyta, Magnoliopsida, Zingiberales, Musaceae. The transcript is spliced from 3 exons.